This 329-nucleotide ribosomal RNA is filed under the name uncultured eukaryote. RNAcentral's name for it is "partial 18S ribosomal RNA". It matches the Rfam family "Eukaryotic small subunit ribosomal RNA", at positions 1470 to 1796 of the family's 1831-position model. The record is from RNAcentral.
CCCUUAGAUGUCCUGGGCCGCACGCGCGCUACACUGAGUGUCUGAGAUACGAGUCUGCCUGGUCCGGCAAGGUCUAGGUAAUCGCUAAAAGACACAUCAUACUUGGGAUAGAUUAUUGCAAAUAUUAAUCUUGAACGAGGAAUUCCUAGUAAGCGCAAGUCAACAGCUUGCGUUGAUUACGUCCCUGCCCUUUGUACACACCGCCCGUCGCUACUACUGAUUGGAUGUUUAAGCGAGGUUCUCGAACUGCUAGCGACUUAGCUUCGGUGAGGUCGCAGUGUGGGAAGUGAACCUAGCUUUGGUGUCUAGAGGAAGUAAAAGUCGUAACA